This 518-nucleotide ribosomal RNA is filed under the name Bacillus pumilus. Its description in RNAcentral is "bacterial SSU rRNA". It matches the Rfam family "Bacterial small subunit ribosomal RNA", at positions 52 to 553 of the family's 1533-position model. Lineage: Bacteria; Bacillati; Bacillota; Bacilli; Caryophanales; Bacillaceae. The record is from RNAcentral.
UACAUGCAAGUCGAGCGAACAGAAGGGAGCUUGCUCCCGGAUGUUAGCGGCGGACGGGUGAGUAACACGUGGGUAACCUGCCUGUAAGACUGGGAUAACUCCGGGAAACCGGAGCUAAUACCGGAUAGUUCCUUGAACCGCAUGGUUCAAGGAUGAAAGACGGUUUCGGCUGUCACUUACAGAUGGACCCGCGGCGCAUUAGCUAGUUGGUGGGGUAAUGGCUCACCAAGGCGACGAUGCGUAGCCGACCUGAGAGGGUGAUCGGCCACACUGGGACUGAGACACGGCCCAGACUCCUACGGGAGGCAGCAGUAGGGAAUCUUCCGCAAUGGACGAAAGUCUGACGGAGCAACGCCGCGUGAGUGAUGAAGGUUUUCGGAUCGUAAAGCUCUGUUGUUAGGGAAGAACAAGUGCGAGAGUAACUGCUCGCACCUUGACGGUACCUAACCAGAAAGCCACGGCUAACUACGUGCCAGCAGCCGCGGUAAUACGUAGGUGGCAAGCGUUGUCCGGAAUUA